RNAcentral lists this ribosomal RNA (441 nucleotides) under uncultured Anaeroplasma sp. RNAcentral describes it as "partial 16S ribosomal RNA". It matches the Rfam family "Bacterial small subunit ribosomal RNA", at positions 341 to 792 of the family's 1533-position model. The record is from RNAcentral. Lineage: Bacteria; Bacillati; Mycoplasmatota; Mollicutes; Anaeroplasmatales; Anaeroplasmataceae.
ACGGGAGGCAGCAGUAGGGAAUUUUCGGCAAUGGGCGAAAGCCUGACCGAGCAAUGCCGCGUGAAUGAAGAAGUAUUUCGGUAUGUAAAGUUCUUUUAUUUGGGAAGAAAAAGCAAUUAUUGACUGUACCAAAUGAAUAAGCUCCGGCUAACUACGUGCAGCAGCCGCGGUAAUACGUAGGGAGCAAGCGUUAUCCGGAAUUAUUGGGCGUAAAGGGUGCGUAGAUGGCAUAAUAAGUCUUUUGUAAAAAUGCUGAGCUCAACUCAGUAGGGCAAAAGAUACUGUUAAGCUAGAGUACAGAAGAGGCAAGUGGAACUUCAUGUGUAGCGGUAAAAUGCGUAAAUAUAUGGAAGAACACCAGUGGCGAAGGCGGCUUGCUAGGCCUGUACUGACAUUGAGGCACGAAAGCGUGGGGAGCAAACAGGAUUAGAUACCCUGGUA